CCUACGGGUGGCAGCAGUGAGGAAUAUUGGUCAAUGGGCGUAAGCCUGAACCAGCCAAGUCGCGUGAGGGAUGAAGGUUCUAUGGAUCGUAAACCUCUUUUAUAAGGGAAUAAAGUGCGGGACGUGUCCUGUUUUGUAUGUACCUUAUGAAUAAGGAUCGGCUAACGCCGUGCCAGCAGCCGCGGUAAUACGGAGGAUCCGAGCGUUAUCCGGAUUUAUUGGGUUUAAAGGGUGCGUAGGCGGCAUUUUAAGUCAGCGGUGAAAGUCUGUGGCUCAACCAUAGAAUUGCAGUUGAAACUGGGUUGCUUGAGUAUGUGAGAGGCAGGCGGAAUGCGUGGUGUAGCGGUGAAAUGCGUAGAUAUAACGCAGAACACCGGUUGCGAAGGCAGACUGCUAAGCCAUGACUGACGCUGAUGCACGAAAGCGUGGGGAUCAAACAGGAUUAGAUACCCGAGUAGUC
RNAcentral lists this ribosomal RNA (460 nucleotides) under uncultured bacterium. Its description in RNAcentral is "partial 16S ribosomal RNA". It matches the Rfam family "Bacterial small subunit ribosomal RNA", at positions 338 to 795 of the family's 1533-position model. The record is from RNAcentral.